Molecule: long non-coding RNA, 657 nt
Organism: Mesocricetus auratus (golden hamster)
Lineage: Eukaryota; Metazoa; Chordata; Mammalia; Rodentia; Cricetidae
Exons: 2
Source: RefSeq, a predicted model, not a curated record
CUUUCUGGACUGGGGAGUGGUUCCUUGGGUGCCAACAUUUCAAAACACACCAGGCCACGUGUUUUAAAAUCUGUGCAUGUCUUUGUGUACGACUUAACACACUAAUUUAAGAGGGAAGGCGGGAGGGCUGGGGAACAGCUUGGAGUGGAGCGCUUGCUGUGCCGGUGUGUCUAAGUUCUGAUCCCUAGCAUCCAUGUACAAGCUGGACUAGGUGGUAGCCAUCUGUAACCAUGGCGACAGGGAGGCAGAGACAGGUGGAUCCUGGAGGCUUGCUGACCAUUCAGUGUGGCCGAAACUGUGCUCCAGGCUCACAGAGAGACCCGAUCUUAAAGAACAAGCACUCCGUCACCCUGUUCGAGCGCAGGUAGGAUUCUAGCUGGGCAUCCGGUGACACCCUGGAUGAGAAGAGCUGAUAAGAUGGCCCAGUCCAAUCGAAGAGGAGACUUGCAGUCAGGGAAAGCCCAGAGGGUCCUCAGCUCGGCCUGCAGCACCAUCCAACUCAGGCUCCUCUCGGGACCCCAGGACCCCCACCAGGGCAGAAGAGGUCAGAGCCUGGAGUGCUCUGACUUUGACAAAGGGUGCAUGUGCCACUCACUUUUACUCUUUAACUGGGAUCAUUGACUUGUACCCACGAUCAGAUAAAAUCUCUGCAGUGUC